AUUGAACGCUGGCGGCAUGCCUUACACGUGCAAGUCGAACGGCAGCGGGCCUUCGGGUGCCGGCGAGUGGCGAACGGGUGAGUAAUGCAUCGGAACGUGCCAUUGAGUGGGGGAUAACGUAGCGAAAGUUACGCUAAUACCGCAUAUUCUGUGAGCAGGAAAGCAGGGGACCGCAAGGCCUUGCGCUCUUUGAGCGGCCGAUGUCGAGAUUAGCUAGUUGGUGAGGUAAAGGCUUACCAAGGCGACGAUCUGUAGCGGGUCUGAGAGGAUGAUCCGCCACACUGGAACUGAGACACGGUCCAGACUCCUACGGGAGGCAGCAGUGGGGAAUUUUGGACAAUGGGCGCAAGCCUGAUCCAGCCAUGCCGCGUGAGUGAAGAAGGCC
This 385-nucleotide ribosomal RNA is filed under the name uncultured bacterium. Its description in RNAcentral is "bacterial SSU rRNA". It matches the Rfam family "Bacterial small subunit ribosomal RNA", at positions 30 to 416 of the family's 1533-position model. The record is from RNAcentral.